Molecule: long non-coding RNA, 1169 nt
Filed under: Homo sapiens (human)
Lineage: Eukaryota; Metazoa; Chordata; Mammalia; Primates; Hominidae
Description: HSALNT0348912
Source: RNAcentral
GUGACUUGAGUUCGAAAGGAGAUACUUCCUGGACAACUGCUAUAAAAACAACAACAAAUACUUUUAUUAAUUCGGGGAGCCUGGUCACCAACUGGAUGCUCAGAUGGAACCCUGAGCAGCCCAUGUACAUGGAAGAUCUUUAUUGCAGAGAUCUUCAAACCAGAUGGCUCGCAGAGAUUGAGGAACUUGCCCAAGGCUACGCAGCUUGAAACUGAGGCUAAAGAGUUUAGUAUUCUGCCAAGGCCAGCUAAUAGUUACAGAGCAUGGUUCCAAAUUCAGAGCUGUCGGAAGCUUAAGCCCAUGUGAUGAACCACGAAUGUGAUUUUACCUCAUUUAAGCCUUGCAGCAAACUCUGCCAACUAGUGUGCAUUUACUCCUGCCUCUCCAUGCCUGAAGGAAGGAAUGAAGAGGUCUCUGCUGUCCAUCUGAGCCAGUGACUGGGCUGUCUCUACCAGGCCAGAAUUUGGGGCAGGCAAGAUUUUCAGCAUCCCUAAAAUCACACUAAGAAGAUAAACAUGGAAACAGCUUGGAGCUGCCCUACCCAUAGUGAGGUGGUACUGACUGGAAGACAGCUUAAACGAUUUGGAGAAAAGUGGAAUACAUUAAUCUCAGAAAACUCUACCACCUGUAGAAAGAGAGCUAAAAUGGAGACAACCACAGGCAGUCUAAGAUACGCUGAACUACUACAGAAAAUAAUGCAGCAUGAAGGAAUGCUGGAAGGUAUGGGGUCAGAGCAAGCUGAUGGAGGGUCCUUCAUUUCCAAGCCACGAGUACAGCAGGAUGUAAGGCUUAGUUCAUAAGAACAUCUCCUGAAAGACAAUCUCUAUAAAAACUGUUUCAAUAGAAAGAAUGCAAGAUGUAACUGUUUAAUAAUAGGACUGAUAUUUUAAAAAACAAAUGAACGUAAUAGAAGACUAGAUGGAUGUGCUUCUCAAAGUCCUCUCUGUGGGAGGCUUCAUCCUCACUCUAGAUGUGUUGCCUGUAGCAGCUGUUAUUGAUUACCCGCCCAUAGCCUAUCCAUACUUACUCAUCAUUCCUUUACCUACCAGUGGCAUCCUAUUGGAAGCACCUGCGACUUUCUUAGGGCUUUCUCUUGGCCAAGCAUUGGAAGGCCAGCAGUAUUGAAAAGUUAAUAGUCUUGGAAGCACUGGCCCUCAACUAAUGACAAA